AUAAAUAAAAUAGCAGCGCUGCGUGGUGUUCUGGAUGCAUCUUGACUGCCAUCGUGUGGUCAUGUUUAGGAAGUGCACCUUCCCCUAAACGGUGUUUAAAGCCGCAGAUUAUAAAUCUAUAUUCCUGCUGAGUGUGUGUUUAUGACCUGGAUGUUGAGUUGCUUUUAAACUUUCUACAUAAGCAGCAUUUCUGGCCUCUGUGAGUCCCAGGUGAUGAUCUUUUAUUUUCAGAUUCUUACUGAGGUGCUGUUUUCCACAUGCAGUGCUUGGCUGUGUUGGAGGUCACCAAGAAAGACUUCCUGGCUGUCAUGUGGAAGCUAAGUGGGCUGGGGUCAAAAGGGUUUCUGGCCAUGGUGCUUGUGCUGCAGUGAUCUUGUUCUCCAUCACCACUCCAACACAGGUAGCCAUCUUCACCCUCUCCCAAGAGGUGAUGUGGUUUGACUUGUGCUACACAGAGGUGAGUCCAGUUAUGCUGCAAGAAGUGUAAGUAUGAUGGGGUUGACGAGUGGGAGGAGAGGUUCUUCCUGUGCAAGGUGCUGCUCUCUCUUCUUUCAGCAUAGCUCCUGGUCUCAGAACAGGUUUAGUUCAUCGUUGCUGGUGUUGUGUAGAGGAUGUUAUAUUGUGAAAGUCACAACUAUCCCUACUCAAGGUCUUGUGAAAUAUUUGACCUUAUUUGUGACUAUAUUCACCAUGAUACUUUCAGCGGUUACUACAUUAGUGUCCUUCAUUUUUUACUAUUUAAAGAUUGUUUAAAAGUUUAUUACAGGCUCAAUGAAUGUUCUUCUCCUUCACUAGAAGAUAAAGGCCCGGUUUCACAGACAGGGUUUUCAUUAAGCCAGGAUUAGAUCUUUGAUCAAUUAGGACAUUUCAGUAGCUUUUAUAAACGUGUCUUAGAAAAAAAUAUUUCUGGUGCACAUCCUGAGAUAAAACAAUGGCACUGACGUGUUUUAAGAUCCGUCCGUGCAAGUAGCUUUCAGUUAAAACAGCUCAAACAUACAUUUUAGUCUGGGACUACGCUUAGGCCUUGUCUGUGAAACCAGGGGGAAAAAGAAGGGUGUGCUUUAUUAUACUCUCUGCAGAAUAUGACAGAAGAAAUGUGACUCACACCUUUAACUAUAAAAAGCAGGUAGAACUGCAGUUAGCAUGAAACCUCAAAUGUGUAGCUGGGCUGGAAAUUUAUUUUUGUAUGCAUGUAUAAUAUUUUUUCUCUUACAGAUGGACCAGCAAACAGAUUUAAAGGCUGUUGUGAAUGAUGGGUUACAGAAAUGUCUUCCUGUGUUUAUUAUUAUUUGAAGUUAUAUAUUCUGAUUUGUAAGCAAGAUUAUGAAGUCUCCUUUUGCUAAUCAUUUUACAGCAUUAUUAAAAAGUCCAUGUACACAAUGUU
Ictalurus punctatus (channel catfish) is the source of this 1384-nucleotide long non-coding RNA. RefSeq lists it as uncharacterized. The record is from RefSeq and is a predicted model, not a curated record. Lineage: Eukaryota; Metazoa; Chordata; Actinopteri; Siluriformes; Ictaluridae. The transcript is spliced from 3 exons.